RNAcentral lists this unclassified non-coding RNA (227 nucleotides) under Basidiomycota sp. RNAcentral's name for it is "partial contains small subunit ribosomal RNA, internal transcribed spacer 1, and 5.8S ribosomal RNA". The stretch from base 1 to 47 matches the Rfam family "Eukaryotic small subunit ribosomal RNA", at positions 1785 to 1831 of the family's 1831-position model. The record is from RNAcentral. Lineage: Eukaryota; Fungi; Basidiomycota.
AAAGUCGUAACAAGGUUUCCGUAGGUGAACCUGCGGAAGGAUCAUUAGUGAAUUUUGGGUGUCUCUUUUACAGAGAGCCCCGUCUUCCAACCUUCUACCCUGUGCACUUGUAAAGUCUUGCGCUUAUCCGCUUGGCUUAUCUUUUAUCACCCUUUUUAACGCAUGUUUAAUGGAUGUAACAAUACUAUAACAAAAUAAAACUUUCAACAACGGAUCUCUUGGCUCUC